Molecule: ribosomal RNA, 1491 nt
Filed under: Triticum aestivum (bread wheat)
Lineage: Eukaryota; Viridiplantae; Streptophyta; Magnoliopsida; Poales; Poaceae
Description: partial small subunit ribosomal RNA
Source: RNAcentral
AUGGAGCUAAGCGCAGCCACCCUAGUGCUCUCCCUCCUCUCACUUGCGAUUCUCGUGGGCUUUUUUGGCCGCAAAUCAACACCAAGUCGGCGAGCUCCCGGACCACGGUGUCUGCCUGUUAUCGGGAGCCUCCACCACCUUCUCACGCCGCAGCCACAGGUCGCCCUCCGAGACCUGGCCAAGAAGCAUGGCCCGGUGAUGUACCUCCGGCUGGGCCAGAUCGACGCCCUGGUGGUGUCCUCCCCGGCGGCGGCAAAGGAGGUGCUCCGAGACAAGGAUCUCAAAUUUGCGUCCCGGCCGAGCAUUCUGGUCUCGGAGGUCAUGGGCUACGGACAACGCGACGUCGUCUUCGCGCCAUACGGCGCGUACUGGCGGACGCUGCGCAAGAUCUGCACGGUGGAGCUCCUCAGCGAGCGGAAGGUGAGGCAGUUCGCGCCGGUGAGGGACAGCGAGACCAUGUCCCUCGUUAGGAACGUCCGCGAGGCCGGCCGAGGUGGCAAGCCGUUCAACCUCGGCAGGCUGCUCGUGUCCUGCUCCAACUCGAUAACCGGGAAGACGGCGUUCGGGCAGACGUGCAGCUCCGAGCUGCAGGAUCAGUUUCUCUCGGCGAUAGAUGUGGCGCUCAAGCUCAGCGCGGGGCUCUGCGUCGGGGACCUCUACCCGUCGAUGUGGUUCGUCGAUGUGGUCACCGGGCUGACAGGCCGGCUAUGGCGAGCCCGCCGGCAGCUGGACAAGGUCCUGGACAAGAUCAUCUCUCAGUCCGAGAUACGGCAAGGUGAUCACCUUCUGAGCGUUUUGCUUAGGAUCAGCGACGAGGGGGAGCUUGACUUCCCGAUCGACAUGGACAACGUCAAGGCAAUCGUAAUGGACAUGUUCACGGCCGGGACAGAGACGACAUCGUCAAUCUCCGAGUGGGUCAUGUCGGAGCUCAUGAGGAGCCCGGAGGUGAUGGCCAAGGCGCAGGCGGAGGUGCGACGAACGUUCGACAACAAGAGCCCACAAGACCAUGAGGGACUCGUAGGGGAGCUGCACUACACAAAGAUGGUAAUCAUGGAGAGCAUGAGGCUGAAUCCAGUGGUGCCACUGCUGGUUCCCCAUGUCUGCCGAGAGACCUGCGACGUCGGCGGGUUUGAGGUCACGGAGGGUACCAGGGUGAUGGUAAACACGUGGGCGUUGGGUAGGAACCCCGAGUACUGGCAUGAGCCUGAGGAGUUCAGGCCCGAGAGGUUUGAGGACGGCACUGCGACCUACAAAGGGUCGCGGUUCGAGUACUUGCCGUUCGGAAGCGGGAGGAGGAACUGCCCCGGCGACACCUUUGGGCUGGCCGUGCUGGAGCUCAUGGUGGCACGGCUUCUCUACUACUUUGACUGGAGCCUCCCUGCCGGAGUGAAGCCGGGUGAGCUGGACAUGGAAAUGAUGGUUGCCGCAACCUCAAAGAGAAAGAACCAGCUGCACCUAGUGGCAACACCGUACAAGGCAUGCAGUUUUUAA